RNAcentral lists this ribosomal RNA (481 nucleotides) under uncultured bacterium. RNAcentral's name for it is "partial 16S ribosomal RNA". It matches the Rfam family "Bacterial small subunit ribosomal RNA", at positions 30 to 507 of the family's 1533-position model. The record is from RNAcentral.
UUGCACGCUGGCGGCAUGCCUUACACAUGCAAGUCGAACGGUAACAGGUCUUCGGAUGCUGACGAGUGGCGAACGGGUGAGUAAUACAUCGGAACGUGCCCGAUCGUGGGGGAUAACGAGGCGAAAGCUUUGCUAAUACCGCAUACGAUCUACGGAUGAAAGCGGGGGAUCUUCGGACCUCGCGCGGACGGAGCGGCCGAUGGCAGAUUAGGUAGUUGGUGGGAUAAAAGCUUACCAAGCCGACGAUCUGUAGCUGGUCUGAGAGGAUGAUCAGCCACACUGGGACUGAGACACGGCCCAGACUCCUACGGGAGGCAGCAGUGGGGAAUUUUGGACAAUGGGCGAAAGCCUGAUCCAGCCAUGCCGCGUGCAGGAUGAAGGCCUUUGGGUUGUAAACUGCUUUUGUACGGAACGAAAAGCCUCUUUCUAAUAAAGAGGGGUCAUGACGGUACCGUAAGAAUAAGCACCGGCUAACUACGUG